This 440-nucleotide ribosomal RNA is filed under the name uncultured bacterium. RNAcentral's name for it is "partial 16S ribosomal RNA". It matches the Rfam family "Bacterial small subunit ribosomal RNA", at positions 338 to 795 of the family's 1533-position model. The record is from RNAcentral.
CCUACGGGUGGCAGCAGUGGGGAAUAUUGCACAAUGGGGGAAACCCUGAUGCAGCGACGCCGCGUGAGUGAAGAAGUAUCUCGGUACGUAAAGCCCUUUCAGCAGGGAAGAAAAUGACGGUACCUGACGACGAAGCCCCGGCUAACUACGUGCCAGCAGCCGCGGUAAUACGUAGGGCGCAAGCGUUAUCCGGAUUUACUGGGUGUAAAGGGAGCGUAGAUGGCUCCACAAGUCUGGCGUGAAAUUCCCGGGCUCAACCGUGGAAUUGCAGUUGAAACUGGAGGCCUUGAGUGCACACAGGGAUGGCGGAAUUCGUGGUGUAGCGGUGAAAUGCUUAGAGAUCACGAAGAACUCCGAUCGCGAAGGCAAGUUACCGGGGUCCAACUGACGCUGAGGCACGAAAGUGCGGGUAUCAAACAGGAUUAGAUACCCUAGUAGUC